GACGUGUUAACUCUGAACCAGUAAAAAUCAUAUUACAUUAAAAAUUUCUUGCUUUAAUUAUGAGUCUAUGAACAAGUUUUGUCUUUUACCAUAUAUAUUGGAGUUCCCAUGAUACAAACAUAUUUUUAUGCUUGGUUAAUUCUAUUUAAAAUCUGAAUGUUUUCAUGUAUUAGCUGCAAGUUUGACCAUAAGUUUCUUUUCAACAGAUGGUGUUUAAAGGAGUACGUCAGCUAAAAAACUGGUAGUGAACUCUGUAACUGACUAACUGGGGAGGUAGCAGCAGAGACAUAAGCCAUAAGGAUGUAUUGAUGAAGGGCAGUUCAAGAGGCCUUAGAGAAAAUCACAACACAGCAUAUGCAGCUAAGCGGGGCUAAGGUAAAAACAAUUUUGUUCAAUAUACACUAACGUUCAGAUAUAUAUUUCAGGUGGCGAGAAAUACAAACAUCCUUCACCAAAACUGAUGGCACAUAAUCUUUUGAGGAAAAGAACAGCGUACAAAAGUCUGUUUCAGCGACUUGUCACUGAAGUUCUUUGCUUACCAGAGAAAGUACCAUUGAAGAUAUGAAGGAGUUUGGUAGAUCUUCAAGACUCCGCUUUUGAGUAAUGUUGAUGCAAAUUAUGUUCUUUAGCUGGAUCACAUUAUUUUUUAUUUACUGUGGUACUAUAUGAAUUACUCAAAUGAGAAGCUUGGCAAGUAUCGUCGGUCGCCUAGAUCUACCUUGAAGUACUGGAGGAGCAACUAUAGUUGCAACACCGAGGAGGAGAAUGACGAGGGAGUAUAGAAUAACUUUAUCCAAACUAUUUUUGAACUCUCUGUUUUUCAUAUUUUUUUUAUAUAAUGAAUAAUGAGUUGUGAAGUUGAGGCACUCUCCUUCCAAGCAUGUGUUGCGUUUUCGUAAUUUAAAAGUUGGGUUUUAAAUUUUUAAUACAAAGUAAGAGUUAUGUUUGUUAUUGUGAUCAGCACCUUUUACAUUACUUUAUUUUCGUGUCUUUUCAUUUG
This is a long non-coding RNA of Brassica napus (rape), 1000 nucleotides long. RefSeq lists it as uncharacterized. The transcript is spliced from 3 exons. Lineage: Eukaryota; Viridiplantae; Streptophyta; Magnoliopsida; Brassicales; Brassicaceae. The record is from RefSeq and is a predicted model, not a curated record.